AUACAGAGGGUGCGAGCGUUAAGCGGAAUUACUGGGCGUAAAGCGCGCGUAGGCGGCUUGGUCAGUCGGAUGUGAAAGCCCCGGGCUCAACCUGGGAAUGGCAUUCGAUACUGCCAGGCUAGAGUAUGGGAGAGGGAAGUGGAAUUUCCGGUGUAGCGGUGAAAUGCGUAGAUAUCGGAAAGAACACCAGUGGCGAAGGCGACUUCCUGGCCCAAUACUGACGCUGAGGUGCGAAAGCGUGGGGAGCGAACAGGAUUAGAUACCCUAGUAGUCC
This 274-nucleotide ribosomal RNA is filed under the name uncultured bacterium. RNAcentral's name for it is "partial 16S ribosomal RNA". It matches the Rfam family "Bacterial small subunit ribosomal RNA", at positions 523 to 796 of the family's 1533-position model. The record is from RNAcentral.